This is a long non-coding RNA of Sorex fumeus (smoky shrew), 887 nucleotides long. RefSeq lists it as uncharacterized. The record is from RefSeq and is a predicted model, not a curated record. The transcript has 9 exons. Lineage: Eukaryota; Metazoa; Chordata; Mammalia; Eulipotyphla; Soricidae.
GGCGCCGGCGACCCCUUGACUUGAGUCUCUUUCCCUCCCCCACCCAGGAGCAGCCGUUGGCGAGCAGCCCCCGAGGCGGCUCCGAUCGCCGCGGGAAGCCUUUGCCCGGUCGCCAGGUGUAGGCGUCAUCGCCGCCCCUGCCCGCGAUGGAUGGGGGCCAGCAGGCUCUGCAUAGACAUGGCUGGAAGACAAAGGAGUGGGGCUGACUGGCGACGUAUCCGGGCCAUCCCACGUUCUGAUCCUGGUAAACGAAGAUGAGGCUACACCUUUAUUGGGAUCGUGUGUAGGCGAAGACGUUAAAGACCAUCGAUGAAGGAAGGUGUGAAGUGUGAAGCUGGCCAUCCGGUGCGGAGCCGGGCCCUGACAGGGAGAUCAUCUGUUUCCGUGAAGAAAUAGCAAGGCAAGUCAGUAAUUUGGUGUGUUUGUGAAUAAUCAGAAUGUAACCAGUGAUGUUAUGAUUCUGCCAAAUGAAAUAGAAUGAUAUCACUCAUAAAACCGUUCCAUUUUUAUGCUGAGGUUACUUGACUUGUAUUAGGAAUGCACUUGUUUCUUCCCCUUUAGUAAUUAGGUGUGAUGUUCACUUUUCAGGCAUGCUAGAGCAAUGAACCGUUGAAUGCCGUGGACCAUUGGACAGGUGAGGCUGCAUACUGUCAGGGACGUGGAUUUCUUCUGGAAUAUAUGAUGAUCUCAACUUGAACUCUCUCACUGACGACUUGAUGACAGCAAAUGAUCUGAUAUUCUGCAUUUAAAAAGUACCAUUCAAUUUGAAAUACAGAAAAGCAGUUCAACUUAGUUUUUUGUUCUUUGUAGGGGUCCGAGUGGAUCUUAAGGAUAAAAAUCUGACCUGGAUAAAAGUCGCAUCGAAUCUUAAUAAACUUUGAGCAAUC